UACGUAGGGUGCAAGCGUUGUCCGGAAUUAUUGGGCGUAAAGAGCUCGUAGGCGGUUUGUCGCGUCUGCUGUGAAAUCCCGAGGCUCAACCUCGGGUCUGCAGUGGGUACGGGCAGACUAGAGUGCGGUAGGGGAGAUUGGAACUCCUGGUGUAGCGGUGGAAUGCGCAGAUAUCAGGAAGAACACCCGUGGCGAAGGCGGCUCUCUGGAACGCAACUGACGCUGAGACGCGAAAGCGUGGGGAGCAAACAGG
RNAcentral lists this ribosomal RNA (253 nucleotides) under uncultured bacterium. Its description in RNAcentral is "partial 16S ribosomal RNA". It matches the Rfam family "Bacterial small subunit ribosomal RNA", at positions 524 to 776 of the family's 1533-position model. The record is from RNAcentral.